UACGGAGGGUGCAAGCGUUAUCCGGAUUUAUUGGGUUUAAAGGGUCCGCAGGCGGAUCGUUAAGUCAGCGGUGAAAGCCCUCAGCUCAACUGAGGAACUGCCGUUGAUACUGGCGAUCUUGAGUGCGAGUGAAGUUGGCGGAAUGUGUGGCGUAGCGGUGAAAUGCUUAGAUAUCACACAGAACACCUAUUGCGAAGGCAGCUGACUAACUCGAAACUGACGCUCAGGGACGAAAGUGUGGGGAUCAAACAGG
Molecule: ribosomal RNA, 253 nt
Filed under: uncultured bacterium
Lineage: Bacteria
Description: partial 16S ribosomal RNA
Rfam family: Bacterial small subunit ribosomal RNA
Source: RNAcentral